GGCUGCGCCGGCUGGUGGAGAGAGCACACGCACCUGGGCUGCGUUAGCUAAUCAGCCCAGGUGCUUAAAGGUGUGCUGCGGGGCCUAACACCGAGAGCGAGUUUCUUUAUUUGAGUUUAUUUCCAGUUUUGUUUCUUUUAAAACGGGGAACCGUGACGGACAACUUCAUGCGACAGACAACUGUGUUCCCCCGCACCUGCCGCAUAUCCCUCCCAGGGGUGUCACGCGGGUGUGACAAUUGCAUUACAGCUGGUGGAGAUCCUUUCGAUGUUGUCGGUCCGUGACGUCAUCGCCUUUGGGUCCACCUGCCACGACUUCCACCAGCUGACGCUGAUCCACUGGACGUGGCGGCGGCUUUUUCGUCGGCAGUCGCGGGACUGGAGGCUGAGGAACAUUAGGAUCAUCCUCAGCGUACUCAAGAUAUUUACCAUAUCCAAGAAGAACGCAGAGAGAGAAUGACGGAUUUUAUCGCUCUUAUCUCGGGCGGCUUAUGUACUUAGCACGUACUGUUUGCGUAUACAGCAGCAGGGCCCUGUUUCACGAAGCACCAUUACGGAGUUAGCUGGACUACACGGAGUAAAAACUCAGAGCCCUCCCAAAAUCUGGAACGUGGACUGAAGUAAGUAAGAAAGGCCAGCUGUUCUGGGUUUUGCUCAGCUCAGUUAUCCAGCUAACACGGUAAUUCUGCUUCGUGAAAUACCCCCCAGGACACAGACUGAAGCCAGUCGUGUUGCAAUGAAGGGUACAGCGGCUGUGCCUCAUCAGAGACUGAAACCUGCAGCUCUCCGGUCGCAAGUCAAGCGGCAUAAUCACUGUGUCACACUGUGGAGUAGCUGUCACCUAAAAUGUGUGAACAUGAAGGUCUCACUGCACUUUAAAUGUGAAGGGGGUCUUUAAGGCCCCUGUGGCAUAUCCAGGGAUGAAAUAACCAUACCGGUACGUUGAGUAGGUGCAGAAUUAUUUCCUUGCACUGAUGAUAGUAUCAUAUAUACAUAAACAUUUGCACUUUCACUCGUGUAAAUGAGAAAUUCAGGUAUACUAAAUAUGGAAUAAACGAAAUAUGGAAUUUUCCCCCUCCAUUUCAUUUUGGGGUUAAAAAUAAGUUCCUCUUACUGCAUGUCCCUGGCUGAGGCUGGUGUAUAAAACGUCCAUAGCACUUUUGUACCACCGUCAGUGUGAUGUCUGCUGUCAAUAUACUUUCUAUGUGUUUUCUGAAACUGUGCAUAUGUAAUAAAAAAUGUAGCUUUUUUAAUAUUUUCCUUGAUGCUGACUAGAUAAAUAUGGUACAUUUUUAAUGGUAAAUCUAACAGCAAGGCAAAAUUAUUCCACACCGCUUUUUAUUAAUUUUAAUAUUUUUACUUUAGUGAUCUAGAAUAUUCUGAUUUAUGGAUAUUUUGAAUGCAGACAGAACAAGAAAAAAUCAUGUGUGUUUUCUUGUGUCGUAACAGUAUUAUGUAAAAUCAUCUUUACGUGUUCAGAAGAUGUGAGACUGCAGAUAUUCAUGAGUCAUUGAGUCAAGAGGAACAAGCACAAUUCGACAGAGACAAAUCCCACAAUACUGGUCGGGUACAGGACUCUCAGUCGAUUCCAGUCCUGUAGGGCCUUUAUAUGCGUCUGUUAUAUAUGCCCCCAACUACCUCCAACCACCCCCCCAAAGAGAAAAUGAAAAUUUCACUUCUCUGCCAGCUACGCAGCAAACCACCACAACUGUCUUCAUAUGAAUAAUUUAUUGACAAAAAAAUCCAAGUCACAUUUGCGCCAAAAAAAAAAGAUCACAUACAUUAGCAACACUUAGCAACAGUUAUAAGCAACCACAGACAUCAGCAGUACUCUGUCCGGUAGUUUGCUCGUACGGUUUUAACACUGUUGCCACGGAACAGCGAUAUAACUGAUCACACUGAGACAGCACCCCUGGGAAUCCUCUGGCAUCAAAUACAAUUUGAGACAAUUUUU
Long non-coding RNA from Anguilla rostrata (American eel), 1953 nucleotides. RefSeq lists it as uncharacterized. The record is from RefSeq and is a predicted model, not a curated record. Lineage: Eukaryota; Metazoa; Chordata; Actinopteri; Anguilliformes; Anguillidae. The transcript is spliced from 2 exons.